RNAcentral lists this ribosomal RNA (322 nucleotides) under uncultured eukaryote. RNAcentral describes it as "partial 18S ribosomal RNA". It matches the Rfam family "Eukaryotic small subunit ribosomal RNA", at positions 1470 to 1796 of the family's 1831-position model. The record is from RNAcentral.
CCCUUAGAUAUUCUGGGCCGCACGCGUGCUACACUGAGUGGAUCAGCGGGUCAGGUUGCGCGAAAGCGUUUCCUAAUCUUUAAAUCCGCUCGUGAUGGGGAUUGACGGUUGCAAUUUUCUGUCAUGAACGAGGAAUACCUUGUAAGCGCGGGUCAUCAUCCCGCGCUGAAUACGUCCCUGCCCUUUGUACACACCGCCCGUCGCUCCUACCGAUUGAGUGGUCCGGUGAGGCUUUGGGAUCUGGGCGGAAAGAGCGUUUCGCUGUUUCUGCCCGGAAAACUCAGUCGAACCUUAUCAUUUAGAGGAAGGAGAAGUCGUAACA